GCUAAGGGUCAGCAGCAACACACUGCACUCCUGACUCCUGCUCUGAUACUUGCCUCACUGGAACCGUCAUCCCCUCUCAUGUGGCAAAUGCAGCUGGGUGACAAAACUGAGGCUCAGAGGCCAAUGGCCUUGUUCAAGGUCACACGCCCACUAAAUGAGAGACCCGGAGACCUGGCAUCACACGCUAACUAAGAAUACUGGAAGGAGAUAAGAUUGGGACUGAAAGACCUGGAUUGAAUGAUUUUUAUCAAGUCACUUCCCUUCCUUGGAUCUCCAUUUACUCAUCAAUAAACUAAGCAGAUUGGAUUAAAUGUUCUGUAAGGUGCCUUCUAGGUGAGGAAGAAGUUGGGAUAAGUCAUAAGGAAGCACCCCAAUGAACAUCUCCUGCCUCUAUGGUUUUUCUGACAUCCAUCAACAUCUGUCAGAAUUUGAAAAUGUGACUGCUUUUAGGCACUGUGCUUAGUGCUGGAGAUUCCGUGUUGAAGCUCACAGUCUGGGGCAGAGAUGGAAACAGACACAAAUAACUAUAAUACAAUGUGGU
RNAcentral lists this long non-coding RNA (541 nucleotides) under Homo sapiens (human). RNAcentral describes it as "HSALNT0365058". The record is from RNAcentral. Lineage: Eukaryota; Metazoa; Chordata; Mammalia; Primates; Hominidae.